AAACGUGGUCGCGCGGGUCGCUGACCGAGAUGUCUGGGUGCGACAAAGAUUGCGCCCAGAUAAACAAGUCAGACUCGCACUCGGUAGUGAGUGAUGGGCGACAAAAGGCAAGGCCAACACAAAGGGGCAUUUUUGUUAUCGAAAAGCCCUUGAAGCAACUAAAGCUAAAGAACAUGAGGUUAGCUAAAAAUCAUCUGGCUUGCUCAGAAGGUCUGUUUGGGUGUUUCGUGUUCGCAGGGCAGCACCUGUUGUACUGUUCUGCCUGUAGCCGUUUACCCUCACACCUCCAUUUUCAAAAACAUUUUCCUGGCAUGGAGAAUUUGUUGGUGAUUUGGCUGGCUAGAGUCUAGGUUUCAGGAACCGGACAUGAAGCUCUGUGUGACUGAAAUGAACCACCUGUUGUCUUCAAAUGGAAGUGAAGAAAAGGUCGAGGAAGAUGGAGUGGGGAUAAGAAUGACUUCAAGCAUCUCACUUGAUAAUCUUGUUCUUCUUGAGAGAUUUACCUAUCUCUUGUGAAUAGGAAGAACUUUGCUUGUAAAAUCAAUUUCAGAUAACCAUAUUUAGAUGGGUGGCGAUCAUCAUUUUUCUUAAAGUUGCUUCCAGCAGCCGGCCCAGUGGCGGAGCGGGCUUUUCCUGGCUCCUGGAGUGCCCUCCCCCACCGCAUGGUCUACUUGACAGGUUUUAAGACUUGGCUGAAGUGGAAUAGCCUCUGUGAAGACUUCCUUGAUGUCACCUUCCUUCUGGGUAAAUUAUCACACGAAAGACCAGAGGCAGCUGCAUCAGACAGGUUGGAAAAGUAUGCAUUUAUUUCUAAAGAGAAUGAACCUAUUAAGACAGUUUGAAAAAUGGUGCAAAAGAAAUAUAUACCAUCAAUCAAGACUGUGUAUUAACUUUGAGUAAUUGUAGUCUGAAAUCCACAUUCCUGGAGCAAAGAAGUGACAUACCUGCCAUAGAUCAGUGUAAACAUGGAGACAGAACAAUGAGAGCCUGUACAAUAAACGAAGAGGAAGAUUGGUACCAGAUCAAAACAUUUCCCUCAUCUGCCUGCAGUUUAAUCUGGGAAGAACUGGAAUUAAGUUCUGGACCACACCAUGUUUAUGACUGACUACUUAUUAAUUGUAUUUAAAUGUGUCAUAAAGUUAAAUGUGUAGUAAACUAUAUGAAUUUUAUUUCAUAUUUUGAGUUUUUUGAUUUAUAACUACUAAUUCCUUCUAUCAUGAUAAAGUUGUGGGUUGAAAGUACCCAUUCGAUAUUACGAAAGGUAAAUACCACAAUCGGUAGAUCAGAGUGGUGGUUACAAUCAAGAUUCUAGUGACCAAAGUCAGACCAGUUGGGUCUGCAGCAUGCUUUAUAGACUAGUAUCUCUGUAGGACCUGUUACUCUUUGAAUAUUUAUUCAAUAAUUGAAUAAUUCAAUGUUCAAUUGAAUAAUUCAGUAACUGAAGGUCUAAGCGUCAGGCAUUGUUUUGAUCUUAUAACCUUCUCAAGAAUCUAUGAAUUAAGUUGUAAUUUCUCCACUUAAGGAUAAUGAAGCUGAAGCUUAAGAAGGUUUAAGUACCUUCACCAGCCAACAAGAAGAGCGCUCAAGAUCCAAACCUAGUUCAUUCCAAAGUAAAGCUCGGUCUUAACUACCGUGCAGGUCUGUUUCUGUGCUACAUCUCUGGAUGAUUUCAUUUCAGGGCAUUUGUGUCUGAAUUGAGGAUAAUCUUUUGCAUCAAAUUGAUACAGAUUUUGAUGCUAAUCUGUGUAUCAUGAAUCAUGGUUAGUCACAGAAGUUAUUUGUUCACUUUGUAAUUGUUACACCUUAAACUCAUUGACUUUAAUGAAAUGGCUGAUAGUAAUAUUGGAGGCCUAAUUGUUAGCUUGGGCAGGUGGACCGCAGGCUUGGUAUUUAAUCACAUAAUGUGCCUUUGUGAAAACAGAACAGUUGUAAGACCGGCAUCAGCAAUUCCUGAGGGAGGAUUCCAAGAAGCAGCUAAGACCUUGAAAAUUCCCCUGGGUAUUAUGGAUUUCAUUUUAAGUGAAA
RNAcentral lists this long non-coding RNA (2025 nucleotides) under Equus caballus (horse). RNAcentral describes it as "lncRNA (ENSECAG00000050900.1)". Lineage: Eukaryota; Metazoa; Chordata; Mammalia; Perissodactyla; Equidae. The record is from RNAcentral.